This 438-nucleotide ribosomal RNA is filed under the name uncultured bacterium. Its description in RNAcentral is "bacterial SSU rRNA". It matches the Rfam family "Bacterial small subunit ribosomal RNA", at positions 28 to 489 of the family's 1533-position model. The record is from RNAcentral.
GAUGAACGCUGGCGGCGUGCUUAACACAUGCAAGUCAUGGGGGCUCAGCAAUGGGCAACCGGCGAACGGGUGCGUAACACGUGAGCAACCUACCGAAAUGAGGGGGAUAGCCUGCCUAACGGCUGGGUAAUACCGCAUACGCUCGAGACCAGGCAUUUGGUUUGAGGAAACCUCAGGGGCAUUUCGAGGGGCUCGCGGCCUAUCAGCUAGUUGGUGAGGUAACGGCNCACCAAGGCGACGACGGUAGCUGGUCUGAGAGGAUGGCCAGCCACAUUGGGACUGAGAUACGGCCCAGACUCCUACGGGAGGCAGCAGUGGGGAAUCUUGCGCAAUGGCCUAACGGCUGACGCAGCGACGCCGCGUGAGGGAUGACGCUCUUCGGAGUGUAAAUCUCUUUCAGCCCCUGACGAAGCGAAAGUGACGGUAGGGGCAGAAGAG